UCGAGAAUUUUUCUCAAUGGGGGAAACCCUGAAGGAGCGACGCCGCGUGGAGGAUGAAGGUCUUCGGAUUGUAAACUCCUGUCAUUGGUGAACAAGGCCAUCGGUUAACUGCCGUUUGGUUUGAUAGUAGCCGAAGAGGAAGAGACGGCUAACUCUGUGCCAGCAGCCGCGGUAAUACAGAGGUCUCAAGCGUUGUUCGGAUUCAUUGGGCGUAAAGGGUGCGUAGGCGGCGAGGCAAGUCUGGUGUGAAAUCCCGGGGCUCAACCCCGGAACUGCACUGGAUACUGCUUUGCUAGAGUACUGGAGAGGGAACUGGAAUUUACGGUGUAGCAGUGAAAUGCGUAGAUAUCGUAAGGAAGACCAGCGGCGAAGGCGAGUUCCUGGACAGUUACUGACGCUGAGGCACGAAGGCCAGGGGAGCAAACG
RNAcentral lists this ribosomal RNA (426 nucleotides) under uncultured Chthoniobacter sp. RNAcentral's name for it is "bacterial SSU rRNA". It matches the Rfam family "Bacterial small subunit ribosomal RNA", at positions 355 to 774 of the family's 1533-position model. Lineage: Bacteria; Pseudomonadati; Verrucomicrobiota; Spartobacteria; Chthoniobacterales; Chthoniobacteraceae. The record is from RNAcentral.